ACCAGCAGAAGCAUAUCCGGUCGCGUGCACAGACCCGCCGUAUACACCACAACACAGGUAUACACAAGGCGUCUACAAACCAUAUAGUAAAAGCCUAUAAUUCUAACCAGGUGAUCAGAGCACGACUUUUAAACUUAUACAAUCCAAACUUAAGACAGGAAAUAAGAAUAUAGUACAAUUUACAAAAGUGUAAUAUACAUCUCUAUACUAAACUACAUAAACUGGUGGAGGUCGUCUAGUACACGUCCAAAAAGGCUCUAGCUAGCCGCAGACCCCUCGCCAAGAACCCUAGCCUUUCCCGUGGUGGAAGGCUCUGUAAAAACAACAACAAAGAGGGCGUGAGAACUAUUAAACAAUAGUUCCCAGUGGGUAAGCCGCCGAGAGUGGCGAAGUACACCACUAGGUCAACUGUGGCAUGAGUAGACAGCAAUAAAUAAGCGAGUAAAAGCAGAUAAUGCAAGUAAGUGCAAUAAGCCCGUAAAUGCAAUAAGCAAAUGUAAAAAUAAACUACUCAUGCUAUUUGCUCGACAAUCAAUAAAUAUCGAUAGACUGCAGGUAUCAAUUAUCACGAUGAAUUCUAUCAAUCAUCUUACUUGACAAUUUAACCAAAUAUAUACCAGAUUGCACGCAAGCUAAUUCAUUAUUACCGGAAUUACAGAUAAUAUCAUGUAAUUACUUUCUACAUUAGCAAGAAUGGAACAUUCUUUAUGUCUCUAAUCAAUCAUGAUGUCAUUUCUAGGUUAUUCAGCACUAAGCUCACUUUAGAUGUCAACUUUCUAGUCUGUUCAUCAAUAAGUCCACUUAACCCAAGACAUAUAGUAACUUUACUACUCUGUCCAGCUAAGGUUAAAGUACUUGACAUAACCCAAUUUCCAACGGACUUACACAAGGUAAGUUCAAGCCGCGCCGUGCCUAAUGGCCCCGUGGUAGUCAACAUCCCCACUCUAGGAAUGAGCCUCCCCCACGGCAUUCCAUUUCGGCGCUCACUUCGUACAUUUGCGAGCAUCUGUCGCUAAGCUGUUCGGGAGUGCUGGCUUGGGGGGGAGCGACCCCGCAAGCGUGUGCAAACGCGCACAAUGGCAUGCAAGCCGUAGUCCACAGUACCAGUCUCACAACAACAUCAUGUCCCUGACAUGGAAUCUCAACUCAAGCCACUCCGGAACGCGGGGCUUGGGGGGCGCGACCCCCGCAAGCAUGUACGAAAGAGCAUAAUGGCAUGCUAGCUAUAGUCCAGGGUACAAAUAUCUCAACAGCAUCAUGUCUCUGACAUGGAAUCUCAACUCGACCCAAGGUCGGCACUGUAGUACCCAAUCAUAAGUCACUAUCAACAACUUGUUGACAAGAUUCUACCAGUCGUUAAUAUAACUUGACAAGUUAAAGCUUUACAUCACACUAGUGAUUCUAUCAGGCUAUACCUGGUCAGUCACUCACAAUCUCUCACUACUCCUUACACAUAAGGAAAGUGGUUUACUAAGGUUCUGUUCAUAGACUCCUGGCACAUAACCUGAAGUUCAAUAUAAACUUCUAUUACUUGAAGCAAACAAAUAUGAAACAAUCACCUCUACUUGACUAUACAAGUAUGUCAUCAUAUUUAAAUCUAGUUAUCUACUAGAUUAUAUUCAGUUGUAUAUCAUUCAAUUAUGCCAUCAUAUAAACUUCUAGUUACUUACUAGAAUAUAUACCACAAUAUGAAUCUAUCAUGUGAAUGUAGGAACUAACAAAGUACUAUAAGCAGGGAAUAUAAACGAUAAAAUACUUUUCACCUGAUCUCCAUGCCAUUCAUUCUACAAUUAGAAAUGCAUAUGCAAACACAAGCCUUUACCCGAUCUUUCAGAGUUUAGCCAUUAUACUUGUUAUAUAACAUUGCAUAGCUCAAUCCUAAGUACAUCUGUCUCUUUGUUGUUCAACAGAACUAAUUGGUCCAUUCACGAAUUUACCAUUCUAUCCUCGUGGAUAACAUCAAGCCAAAUUGCAUAUGCAAGCUACUAGUAUCAUGAAUCCAUAGUACUUAACAGGUAACCAUGUAAAAUGGACAAGUCAUGAAGCUUUCGUUACCAUUUAAAGAUGCUAUCAUUUCCGAUAUGAUCUACAUAUCAGUGCAUGUCUCAAUGCCUUAAACUAUGCAUGUAUUCACAUGAAUAUGAAAUAACU
Molecule: long non-coding RNA, 2151 nt
Filed under: Ananas comosus (pineapple)
Lineage: Eukaryota; Viridiplantae; Streptophyta; Magnoliopsida; Poales; Bromeliaceae
Description: long non-coding RNA (ACOM_LNC040088)
Source: RNAcentral